UCGGAUUGACAGUCGAGAAGGGUAUCUUGCUGACCUGUAUCUGCUUCCCAAAAGUUCCCGGCAGACAUUGUUCUUGUAGCAUAAAUGAGUGGUUAUUUGAGGCACAAAAAUAGCUGCUGCUCACUUCAGUUUUCCUUGGCUUUCUCUGCUGGUCAGCCACUUUUCACCCGGUGUUUCACAUCGGAAGUGAACAGAGAUAUGCAGAUGUGUGUUUAUAAACCAAGAUCGGUGGCUAUUGAUAACUCAUGGGCUUCAUGUACAUGUUCUCACUAGUCACUGAUGAUGAUGCUGGCAUGUUUAUGGCCAUCA
RNAcentral lists this long non-coding RNA (309 nucleotides) under Musa acuminata (dwarf banana). RNAcentral's name for it is "long non-coding RNA (MACU_LNC005523)". The record is from RNAcentral. Lineage: Eukaryota; Viridiplantae; Streptophyta; Magnoliopsida; Zingiberales; Musaceae.